UGGACACCAUCAUAUACAAAAAUCAUCACAAUCUUUGCAUACCCUGUUUGGAGUGUGUUUAUUCUACACGUGGCAUCCAGUGCUGGGAAGUUCAAAGUUCCAUUGUUCUUAUUCAUCCUAAUGCUAUGCUGUGUUGGUGCACUUGCCGAGUUAGUUAAGUCUUAUAAAGGUCACAAGUACAAGCUUCAUAGAGAUGGCAGUAAGUUGUUGCGAAAUUUGUCAUUUGCUGCAGCAGCUGUUAUGAAAAAUCAAAAUUCUGAAUCUGAAGAUGAAAC
Long non-coding RNA from Xenia sp. Carnegie-2017, 275 nucleotides. RefSeq lists it as uncharacterized. The transcript has 2 exons. NCBI's taxonomy places the organism in Eukaryota, Metazoa, Cnidaria, Anthozoa, Malacalcyonacea, Xeniidae. The record is from RefSeq and is a predicted model, not a curated record.